UUGCUUCCAUAGUAAAUACACUGAAAUUGGAAGGACAUGGAGACGAUCGCCAGGCUCUUGUGUAAGGAUAACACACAUAUCUAUGAUGCAUUUCAUGUUUUA
Small nuclear RNA from Cavia aperea (Brazilian guinea pig), 102 nucleotides. NCBI's taxonomy places the organism in Eukaryota, Metazoa, Chordata, Mammalia, Rodentia, Caviidae. The record is from Ensembl.